AUGGAGAUGGAGGCGCGCGGCGACCUGCGAUCGAUCCUGCCGCAGCUGCCGGUGGUGCUGCGCGGCGGGGCGCUGUUCUGGCCGGCGGCGGCGCAGGAGCAGCUGAGGGCGCUGUCCCUCGGCCCCGACGUGAGCCGGGUCACAUCCGGCGACGUGCUCGCCGACGCGCUCAGCGACCUCCGCCAGGCCCUCGCCCUCCGGGCGCUCCCCGCGCGCGCCGCCGAGGGCUACGCGCUCUUCUUCGACGACCUCCUCUCGCGGGCGCACGCGCGGGACUGGUUCUCCGACGUGCUCCCCCGCCUCGCGCGCCUCCUCCUCCGCCUCCCCGCGCUGCUCGAGGCCCACUACGCCGGCGCCCGGGCCGCGACCGGGCUCCGCCUCCUGGGGCCCCAGGACGCGGGCUUCGUGCUCCUCGGCCAGGAGCUCGCCGCCGCGCUGCUCGCCUGCGCGCUCUUCUGCCUGUUCCCCACCGCCGGCCGCGGCGAGGCCCGCCUCCCGGCCAUCAAUUUCGACGCCUUGUUCUCGGCACUGACUAACAAUGCGAGGCAAAGCCAGGAGCACAAAGUGAGGUGCAUUGCUCACUAUUUCGAGAGGGUGACCGCGUCGAUGCCUGCCGGUUUUGUGUCGUUUGAGCGCAAGGUUCUUCCGCGCGGCUCCCUCUCCGGUGGUGUUACCUACCCUGACAACGAUGCCUGGAUGAAAUCUAGCGUGCCCCUCUGUCCAUUCCGGGUAAUUUCCUCGGGUUUGAUCGAAGAUGAGGAAGAAGAAGCCCUCGAGGUUGACUUUGCUAAUAAAUAUCUGGGAGGAGGUGCACUUUCCAGGGGCUGUGUGCAGGAAGAGAUCCGUUUCAUGAUAAACCCAGAACUGAUUGUAGGCAUGCUCUUCAUGGCCUCAAUGGAAGAUAAUGAGGCUAUAGAAAUUGUCGGUGCGGAAAGGUUCUCACAGUAUAUGGGGUAUGGCUCCUCAUUCCGCUUUGUCGGUGAUUAUUUAGAUACGAAGCCCCUUGAUGCAAUGGGUCGACGAAAAACUAGGAUUGUAGCAAUUGAUGCCUUGGACUGUCCAACUAAGUUACAGUAUGAAACUAGUGGUCUUUUAAGGGAAGUGAACAAAGCAUUUGUUGGUUUUUUGGAUCAAUCAAAGCAUCAGUUCGAUGUGAAGCCUUUGCAGGAUUCUAAUUCCAAGGAUAAUCAUCCAAGUGUCAACUCAGUUGACUGUAUAGGAGUUUCAACCGGAAACUGGGGUUGUGGGGCUUUUGGUGGAAACCCUGAAAUUAAGAGCAUGAUUCAGUGGCUUGCUGCAUCACAGGCGCACCGACUUUUUGUUAAUUACUAUACUUUUGAGGAUGCGUCACUUAGAAGACUAGAAGAGGUGAUGCAGUGGGUAUUACGCCACGGAUGGACUGUCGGCGAGUUGUGGCACAUGAUUGUUGAGUAUUCAUCCCAGAGGCUCAAGAGAGAAACUUUUGACGGCCUUUUGACUUGGUUACUUCCAGAAGACAACGUCAAUAAUGAUGCGGAUUACAUGUGCGAGUAG
This 1533-nucleotide ribosomal RNA is filed under the name Triticum aestivum (bread wheat). Its description in RNAcentral is "partial small subunit ribosomal RNA". The record is from RNAcentral. Lineage: Eukaryota; Viridiplantae; Streptophyta; Magnoliopsida; Poales; Poaceae.